This is a long non-coding RNA of Mus musculus (house mouse), 906 nucleotides long. RefSeq annotates it as predicted gene, 34916. NCBI's taxonomy places the organism in Eukaryota, Metazoa, Chordata, Mammalia, Rodentia, Muridae. The transcript has 4 exons. The record is from RefSeq and is a predicted model, not a curated record.
CUUCAAUUAUGAAAGGAUUCUCCGAUUAAAGGCUACGAAAAUAGGCACAAGUUUAAGAUGCUCUGAGGGGCCUCUCCACAUCCACGAGAUAGUGGUGCCAGAAAGGCAGGCCACAUCAUGGAUGUAGGGCUGAGUUCCAGCCUGCCUGAGUUAUCAGGACCCUGCCUCCAUAGAAAGAACACACCCUCCUGGCAUCCAGGCCUCGAGGAGCACAAAACUGUAAAGAUGCUAGAGAGGGCCUUUCCCUCCACCCCAGGACACUGCACUCCAAGAUGAGCGUGAAAACAGCCCAAAGAGGGUGUAAGGAGCCCUGAGCAGUUGAUUUUCAGAGUACAGGGGUGAAAGGGCACUGCUCCAAGAGCCACAGAGAGGCCAGGGCUCAUGUAAGUGGCUUCUCACUGCCAACAGAGGAGGACUAAGAAAGAUUCACCGCUCACCUGAAGAGCAGUCCGGAGAGAAAACAGACAUGCUUGGGACCGCCUGCAGAAGUCAUAGGGCUUCAAGAUCAUGAACACCACACCGAACACCACACCGUGCCUUCCAGAGGGAGUUACAACAUAGCAUGUGACCAGAGUCCUCAAAAUCUCCCAGUGGGUUCUUCUCUACACUCAAAGCAAGGGCUCCUGUGUGUAUACAGACAUCUUCCAGGGCUCCUGUGUGUGCACAGACAUCUUCCAGGGCUCCUGUGUGUACACAGACAUCUUGCAAGGAACCUUUGUGACCACACAGUCUCUAGGACUGAAGAGAAUUACGAACACGUUUAUUGAUGCCUUUAUUGCUCUUCCCUCCCAGAUUUUAUUUUGGGGAGCAUUGGAGUGACAUGGUGUGGUGGCUUGGCCCAGGGAGUGGCACUAUUAGGAAGUGUGGUCUUGUUGGAGUAGGUGUGGCCUUGUUGGAGGAAUUUUG